AGACAAUAAUGUUUGUGUGUUUUGUGGCUCUUCCUGGGCUGUCCACUGGGCACAGAGACUCAAAACCCUGAUUGUCACUUCUGCCAUCAAAGUACUGAAACAUCAACAGAUCCCGCAAAACCUCAGAUGGGGCACCAUGAUGCGUUGUGCUGAGAAAGGUAACUGAUGGAAGGAGUGGAAGGAGUGGUGGAAGGAGGAAGAUCCAGCUGUAGGAAAUAACGUAUCGCCCUCUAGUGGUCCAAACCAAAAUUGCAUCAUUUAGCCUUAAACUGAGGCCAGAAAGUAAAACAGAAGAAGAGAAUCGAGGCCAUAAUAACAGAUAGAGGGCCAACUUUAAUAAUACAAGUAAGUAAAAGUGUCUUUAAAUAUGGUAUAAAAAUAAAUGCAGGAGGGAAUAACAAAGAAUUAUGUUCUACAUAGGACAGGAGACGGCAUUUUUGUCAUUUUGAAUGUGGCUUUACAAGUGCAAUGAAACCCAUAUGUGCUAAUAUUGUAGUGCAAUAAAAUAAUGCAAAGCAAAAUAAAUGCACAAUAAAUAAUGAUAAUAAUAAUAUAUAUGUAUAUAUAUUGUAUAUUCAUUCUGCACAACACUUCCCAUAGUGUGACCUCAGAUCAUGUAAAGCAAUGACACUGGUUAGAUUUUAGUUUAAGCUGUCAUUUCACAUUUUUCUAUUUGUUUUUUUCUCUGACAUCAUUUGUUUCAUCUGGAAGUGAGGGGGGAGAGGAAGGGGCUCCGGUCCAGUGGUUAACAUGGAAAGAACUGCAACACUGGACAUAUUUUUUUGUUUUGCCAGUCCGUCCCAACAAGUCCAGCAGCGUGUCCUUUCUGAGAAUACUGGAAAUAUAUCAGGUACUGUAAGAGUGGAGAGAGACCUCUCCAUGGACAUGCAACAUUCAGUGGACAACAGACGAACAGAUGGCCCGGCCCGUUGCCCGACUGAGCCGAGAGAGAAUGGUUAGAGAAUGAUGACGAAGAGA
This is a long non-coding RNA of Betta splendens (Siamese fighting fish), 978 nucleotides long. RefSeq lists it as uncharacterized. The transcript has 2 exons. The record is from RefSeq and is a predicted model, not a curated record. NCBI's taxonomy places the organism in Eukaryota, Metazoa, Chordata, Actinopteri, Anabantiformes, Osphronemidae.